AAAAAAUUAAUUACUUUUGAUUUGACAGUUAUACUUAAUUAACUUUUAAAAAUAGAAUUUUUAGGUGAAAUUUUAAUUUUAUUAAAAUGAGAUAUAUUAUACUGUGAAAUUUAUUUUAAAGACAAGGAUUAGAUACCCUUUUAUAUUAAAUGUAAAUUCAAAUUAGGGUAGUAUUAGUUAUGUUCUUGAAACCCAAAGAAUUUGGCGGUAUUUUAUUCUUUUUAGAGGAACCUGUCCUGUAAUUGAUAAUCCACGAUAGAGAAUUACUUAUUUUUGUUUACAUUUUGUAUACCUCCGUCAUCAGAGUAUCUUUUUAGAGAUAAUGUUCUUAUAAUAUAAAGUAAGAUAUGUCAGGUCAAGGUGCAGAUUAUGAAUAAGUAGAGAUGGGUUACAAUAAAAUUAUUUAUAUGGAUUAUUAUUAUUAUUAAUAAUAUGAAGGUGGAUUUAAAAGUAAAUUUAUUUCUUUGGUAAAUUGAUUUUAGCUCUAAAAUAUGCACACAUCGCCCGUCGCUCUUAUUUUAAAAUAAGAUAAGUCGUAACAUAGUAGGAGUACCGGAAGGUGUUCCUAGUUGGUA
Molecule: ribosomal RNA, 575 nt
Filed under: Zygonyx torridus
Lineage: Eukaryota; Metazoa; Arthropoda; Insecta; Odonata; Libellulidae
Description: partial 12S ribosomal RNA
Source: RNAcentral